This 253-nucleotide ribosomal RNA is filed under the name uncultured bacterium. Its description in RNAcentral is "partial 16S ribosomal RNA". It matches the Rfam family "Bacterial small subunit ribosomal RNA", at positions 524 to 776 of the family's 1533-position model. The record is from RNAcentral.
UACGUAGGGGGCUAGCGUUGUCCGGAAUCAUUGGGCGUAAAGCGCGUGUAGGCGGUUCGGUAAGUCCGCUGUGAAAGUCGGGGGCUCAACCCUCGAAUGCCGGUGGAUACUGUCGGACUAGAGUACGGAAGAGGCGAGUGGAAUUCCUGGUGUAGCGGUGAAAUGCGCAGAUAUCAGGAGGAACACCGAUGGCGAAGGCAGCUCACUGGGACGGUACUGACGCUGAGACGCGAAAGCGUGGGGAGCAAACAGG